GUGUCAGCAGCCGCGGUAAGACAAACCGUGCGAACGUUGUUCGGAAUCACUGGGCUUAAAGGGCGCGUAGGCGGUCUGUCAAGUCAGGGGUGAAAUCUUUCGGCUUAACCGGAAAACAGCUUUUGAUACUGGCAGGCUGGAGGGAGGUAGGGGCAUGUGGAACUUCCGGUGGAGCGGUGAAAUGCGUUGAUAUCGGAAGGAACGCCGGUGGCGAAAGCGACGUGCUGGACCUCUUCUGACGCUGAGGCGCGAAAGCUAGGGGAGCGAACGGGAUUAGAUACCCCUGUAGUCC
This 292-nucleotide ribosomal RNA is filed under the name uncultured bacterium. Its description in RNAcentral is "partial 16S ribosomal RNA". It matches the Rfam family "Bacterial small subunit ribosomal RNA", at positions 505 to 796 of the family's 1533-position model. The record is from RNAcentral.